GAUGAACGCUGGCGGCGUGCCUAACACAUGCAAGUCGAGCGAUUCACUUCGGUGAAGAGCGGCGGACGGGUGAGUAACGCGUGGGUAACCUGCCUCAUACACAUGGAUAACAUACCGAAAGGUAUGCUAAUACAAGAUGAUAUAAGAGAUUCGCAUGGAUUUCUUAUCAAAGCUCCGGCGGUAUGAGAUGGACCCGCGUCUGAUUAGCUAGUUGGUAAGGUAACGGCUUACCAAGGCGACGAUCAGUAGCCGACCUGAGAGGGUGAUCGGCCACAUUGGAACUGAGACACGGUCCAAACUCCUACGUGAGGCAGCAGUGGGGAAUAUUGCACAAUGGGCGAAAGCCUGAUGCAGCAACGCCGCGUGAGCGAUGAAGGCCUUCGGGUCGUAAAGCUCUGUCCUCAAGGAAGAUAAUGACGGUACUUGAGGAGGAAGCCCCGGCUAACUACGUGCCAGCCGCCGCAGUAA
Molecule: ribosomal RNA, 468 nt
Filed under: uncultured bacterium
Lineage: Bacteria
Description: partial 16S ribosomal RNA
Rfam family: Bacterial small subunit ribosomal RNA
Source: RNAcentral